RNAcentral lists this ribosomal RNA (502 nucleotides) under uncultured bacterium. RNAcentral's name for it is "partial 16S ribosomal RNA". It matches the Rfam family "Bacterial small subunit ribosomal RNA", at positions 28 to 507 of the family's 1533-position model. The record is from RNAcentral.
GACGAACGCUGGCGGCGUGCCUAAUACAUGCAAGUCGAACGAACCGCGACUAAGUGCUUGCACUCAGUCAAGGUGAGUGGCGAACGGGUGAGUAACACGUGGGUAACCUACCUCAUAGUGGGGGAUAACAGUCGGAAACGACUGCUAAUACCGCAUAGGACAUAGGAUCACAUGAUCCAGUGAGGAAAGGUGGCGCAAGCUAUCGCUAAGAGAUGGACCCGCGGUGCAUUAGCUAGUUGGUAGGGUAAAGGCCUACCAAGGCGAUGAUGCAUAGCCGACCUGAGAGGGUGAUCGGCCACAUUGGGACUGAGACACGGCCCAAACUCCUACGGGAGGCAGCAGUAGGGAAUCUUCCGCAAUGGACGCAAGUCUGACGGAGCAACGCCGCGUGAGUGAAGAAGGUCUUCGGAUCGUAAAGCUCUGUUGUUAGAGAAGAACAGCGCAUAGAGUAACUGCUAUGCGUGUGACGGUAGCUAACCAGAAAGCCACGGCUAACUACGUG